CCCUUAGAUGUUCUGGGCCGCACGCGCGCUACACUGACGGAGGCAGCGAGCAUGUCCUUCGCCGAGAGGUGUGGGGAAUCUUGUGAGUCUCCGUCGUGCUGGGGAUAGAUGGUUGCAAUUGUCGAUCUUGAACGAGGAAUUCCCAGUAAGUGCGGGUCAUCAGCUCGCGUUGAUUACGUCCCUGCCCUUUGUACACACCGCCCGUCGCUGCCCGGAACUGAGCCGUUUCGAGAAGACUGAGGAUUGCUGACUUGAGGCCUUCACGGGCUUCUAGUCGGUGAAAAUCAAUUUAAUCGCAGCGGCUUGAACCGGGCAAAAGUCGUAACA
RNAcentral lists this ribosomal RNA (327 nucleotides) under uncultured eukaryote. Its description in RNAcentral is "partial 18S ribosomal RNA". It matches the Rfam family "Eukaryotic small subunit ribosomal RNA", at positions 1470 to 1796 of the family's 1831-position model. The record is from RNAcentral.